Long non-coding RNA from Meriones unguiculatus (Mongolian gerbil), 711 nucleotides. RefSeq lists it as uncharacterized. Lineage: Eukaryota; Metazoa; Chordata; Mammalia; Rodentia; Muridae. The transcript has 3 exons. The record is from RefSeq and is a predicted model, not a curated record.
CCCCCCACUCAGGCUGUUCAUUUCACCCUCUUCCCGGGCCAACAAGCCAGUCCCUGAAGGACUGGAGCUGCCCUAGGCUUCCGGCCAUUCCUGUCUACUGUCGCUGUGGAGAAUUGCCACGGUGGCCUCUAGCUGGCCUUCUCGGUCAUCCGCCAGCUCAUCCCCUGUGCGUCCACCCGUGUUAGGAGAACUUCCUCUGACUCAGCAGUUCCACUGCCAACAAUCUACGUGAUGGCGGUGCUGGCUGGAGCAGACGUGCAGCCCUGGGCAGGGAUGCUUGCUGCCGCAUUUUGCAAUAACCCAGAACCAACCCGUUUGGCCAUCCACAGCCACAUCUGCAGCACAGGAAGUCCUGCAGGCCCCGCUGAGCCCGAAAGCUAGCUGUGACGUGGAAGAGCACGGCCCGGAGCGGGGCAGACGAGCGGCUACCACCACUUGCUGACGUUACCCAGCGGCUCUCAGGGCUCUUCCUGCAGGAAGCCUGAGUGCGCAGGGAGCCGCCCUUCCCUCUGUGGGAGUGGCAGCUACCUGCGAUUUGACAAGCCACCGGUGCCUGUGGACACCCAGGUGCUGGGCCUAGCUGGCCUACCCCCAAAUUUCCACACGUGGGUCUCUGUCCCGAGGUGUGUACUGGGGAAGCUGACGCAAAACAUCAGCUGUGGGAAUGGGGUCCACUCCUUGCGGGCUCUCCGUGGACGAAAAGAACUGUAC